UACGUAGGGUGCAAGCGUUGUCCGGAAUUAUUGGGCGUAAAGAGCUCGUAGGCGGUUUGUCGCGUCGGCUGUGAAAACCUGGGGCUCAACCCCGGGCCUGCAGCCGAUACGGGCAAGCUAGAAUUCGGUAGGGGAGAUUGGAAUUCCUGGUGUAGCGGUGGAAUGCGCAGAUAUCAGGAGGAACACCGAUGGCGAAGGCAGAUCUCUGGGCCGUAACUGACGCUGAGGAGCGAAAGCAUGGGGAGCGAACAGG
Molecule: ribosomal RNA, 253 nt
Filed under: uncultured bacterium
Lineage: Bacteria
Description: partial 16S ribosomal RNA
Rfam family: Bacterial small subunit ribosomal RNA
Source: RNAcentral